This 497-nucleotide ribosomal RNA is filed under the name uncultured bacterium. Its description in RNAcentral is "partial 16S ribosomal RNA". It matches the Rfam family "Bacterial small subunit ribosomal RNA", at positions 28 to 507 of the family's 1533-position model. The record is from RNAcentral.
GAUGAACGCUGGCGGCGUGCCUAAUACAUGCAAGUCGAGCGAACAGACGAGGAGCUUGCUCCUCUGACGUUAGCGGCGGACGGGAGAGUAACACGUGGAUAACCUACCUAUAAGACUGGGAUAACUUCGGGAAACCGGGGCUAAUACCGGAUAACAUGUUCAACCGCAUGGUUCAACAGUGACAGACGGUCUUGCUGUAACUGAUAGAUGGAUCCGCGCCGCAUUAGCUAGUUGGUAAGGUAACGGCUUACCAAGGCAACGAUGCGUAGCCGACCUGCGAGGGUGAUCGGCCACACUGGAACUGAGACACGGUCCAGACUCCUACGGGAGGCAGCAGUAGGGAAUCUUCGGCAAUGGGCGAAAGCCUGACGGAGCAACGCCGCGUGAGUGAAGAAGGUCUUCGGAUCGUAAAACUCUGUUAGUAGGGAAGAACAAAUGUGUAAGUAACUAUGCACGUCUUGACGGUACCUAAUGAGAAAGCCACGGCUAACUACGUG